Molecule: long non-coding RNA, 3413 nt
Organism: Felis catus (domestic cat)
Lineage: Eukaryota; Metazoa; Chordata; Mammalia; Carnivora; Felidae
Exons: 3
Source: RefSeq, a predicted model, not a curated record
GAAGCAGGAUCCAGGCUCCGAGCUGUCAGCACAGGGCCCGACGCGGGACUCGAACCCAUGAACUGUGAGAUCAUGACCUGAGCCCAAGUCGGAUGCUUGACCGACUGAGCCACCCGGGCAGCCCGGUAAGGCCUUGUGAUGGGCAGCUUAUCCAGGCUCUCGUGUGGAGAGAGUCCUGGGAGGAUUCUUAGACCCACGUCCGUGCUUUAGAGGAGAAACCAGAGCCAUGGAACGUUGGCUGCAAGUAGGGGAGGUCCCUGGCAAGCCCGGGGUGUGUGUGAUGCUAAAAACCAUGAUCAGUAGCUGAGUAUUCAACACCCACCAAUUCACUUUCAUCAGCUGUCCACCUGCCGGUAGAAUCAUCAUCCAACCAUCCAUCCGUCCACUGUCCACUCCUCCAGCAUCCAUCUCCCAAUUCCCUCAUUCCCCCCUCUCCCCAUUCGCUCACUUCCCCCCAGUCCUGUCGCCCCCCCCCAUCCCUCACCACUGACUCUGCACCUGGUCCGGUGCUGGAUGCUCAGUGUGCAACGAGUAAGACUGUGAUCUCCCUUCAAACCCAGUGAGGCAGGCAGACGCUUCGUCUACGCGAGGGAGGUGAAUGUGGUGGUGGAGGGUUCUAGGGGGUCUGAGAUUUCAGACCUGGAAGGCCUAGACAGGCAUCAGAGUUAGUCCCGCGAUGCUAAGUCUGGGAAACCGAGGUCUAGAGAGGAGAUAAGACAUGCCAAGUCACAGAGUCAUGGGGGGGCGGGGGUGAGCUCAGGUCUCACUCCCAUUUCUCUGUUCUUUCCGCCAGACUCUAGGCCCCACUUCCCCAUCCAUACUCAGCAACACUGGAGGCCAGACGCUCUCAACCCCUUAGUGCCUGGCACGGCCCUGGGCCUGGGGAAGGGGACCUUCCCUGUUGCCACGGCACACCUGCGCUGUCCCCACGGACAAUCAGAUUGGUAGAGCUUUCUCGUGCUCUUCCCAUCGUCCCACGGAAAACCCACCACAGUUCCGGAGGACUGGCAUCACCACCCCUUUUUACAGAAAAGGGGGCUCAGAGGGGGGAAGGGGCCUGCCUAGAGUCACACAGCUCGAGUGCAGCGGAGCCAGCAUCCUGACUCACCAUUCUGAACCUGAUCUGAGACACCAGGCGGCACCUCACAUAGCCUUGAAUGUUCUGGCCCCAGGCCGAUGUUGCGCCAUUGAAGUCAGGGGCUGCUGACAGGUAGGUUCGGCAGGGACGGGAAGGUUGGGGGAAGGACCCUGAAAAGGAAACCCCGGAGAUUGUUUUCACCUGGAAGGGCUCCGCCCCGCCCAGCAAUGGAAAAUGUGUGUCAGAGGAAGCCGCUGGCUGGGGAUGGGACAGAUGGGCCGACUGUCCUAUGAAAGCUGGUCCCCACGCCCUACCUCCCAGAUCCCCUUGGCCAAUUCGCUCUGCUCGGUAGUUACCGCAGCAAGCAUUUAUUGAGCACCUGCUGCAUGCUCAGAUGCAGGGAUGCAGGAUGGCCUCUUCCCUGCCCAGAGACGUGCACAACCUGGUGAAGACAGAAAUAUGACGAGACAGGGCCAUUGUGACAAGGUACCACAAAGCCGGGGUUAAGAUAACGCGGACUUAUUCACCCUCUGUUCUGGAGGUUCGAGGAUUGAAAUCGAGGUACCAUCAGGGUCACCUUGUCUAAGACUCUGGGUAGAAAACUUCCUUGCCUCCACCUAGCUUCUGGUGGCCAUCAGUCGGUGGCAUUCCGUGGUGGUCAGCUCUAUCACCCCCAUCUCUGCCUCUGUCAACAACAGUGUUCCCCUUGUGUGGUUCCCUCCUCUUCUUAGGAGGAUACCAGUCAGAUUGGACUAAGGGCCAACCCCGCUCCAAUACGACCUCAUCUUAAGUAAUUACAUCUGCAGCAACCUUCUUCCGAAAUAAGAUCACAUUCUGGGGUGCUGAGAGUUGAGGCUUCAACAUAACUUUUGGGGGGACGUAACCCAACCUAUAACAGAUGUCCUUAAAGUGCUUGUCAUAUAGUUAAAUAUCAAAUCUGGGGGACAAAAAUCCUAUGCACAUCUCACGUCACAGUUUGAGAUUUAGGAAAUCUGGCCUCGGCAUGUCUGUCCCGCACACUAAUACUUUGCCCUAGUGAAUACUAAAUAAAUGUUUGGGAAAUACUUGACUUGUGGUCCCCUAAGGCUCCCAGGUCUUUCCUUAACAAGUUAGAGAAAUAGAAUAAAAGUCCCCAGAGAACAAAGUCAAGCUGCCCUCUGUCCUGGAUUCCUGGCAGGCAGCAGCCCCACUGACCUGGGCACCCCCUUCCCUGCCUGCCUGGGCACCAGCUUGGGGAAAUAGCCAGUCAUGAGAAGGAUGGAAGGAGAGGCCUCAGCUCCCUUCCUCUCCGGAUUAAGCAGACUCACUGUUCUCAGUCCUCUCCCUUGCUUCCCUAUCCAAAGAGGCUCAGACUACUCCAUCGAGACAAGUAUCCCUGCGUUACUCUUGCUUCCCUGGCCCGGUUCAGGCCUUUCCCUUCACCACUGGGACUAUUGUCCCCGGUCUUCGAACUGAUUUCUCUGCUGCCAGCACCAAUUGGGUCAUCCUAAAUAUGAAUCUGAUGACUUCUCUCACUGCUCUGAAACCUUCAGUGGCUCCCUAUUGCUCUCAGAACAAAGUCCGGAUGAUUUCCUAGCUUACCAUUUCAGACUUUGGACAUGUUGGUCCCCAGGUAGCCAUCCAGGCUCGUUCUUCACUAUCUCCCUAAGUGUGCACUAUCCUACAGGCAGGGGAGGUUCCAGAAUUUCCAUCUAAAAGAGACGGGGGAGGGGGGGUCGCAUUCUGGUUGGCAGGGGACACCAUGGAGGCUUGUCUUUAUAAGCAGGAAUGCCAGAGCAUGACAGUGCUUUCCUGUUUUUGGCAUCUGCUCCUUGGGGUACACUGUCCCCUCUACAGGGAAUCAUCUCCCUACAUCCCAGUUUUUCACCAUGUGACUCAAAGGACCUCUUCACCCUGAUCACAUAACCAAAAGGACUUCUCCCCGAUCUGCAUACAGGGUAUUUUGGUAGAACUUCAUUAUGAAGUUUAUUCCAGUGCACCUUGUCCUGGCCACAGGUUGCUCCUCCCUUCCCUUAGAGCUAGGUUCUAGCCCCAGGCCUGGGGCUGAACAGAAGGAAGGGCAGGUGAGAAAAAUGCCAGGGUAGAGACCUGGCUGCUGAAACACUUUGUCAGUGUUUGGCUGCAUGACCGUAGGCCAGUCACCUCCCUUCCCUGGGUCCUUCUCCGGUCCUUCUCUGUAGGGUGGGGGGUGGGGAGAGGCAUUCAAGGAGGGUGAAAGCAUGAGCUAAGUUUCUCCCUCCACCCCAGGUCUGACCAGACCUCGGUUCUAUGAACAGAAGCUUUUGGGGGUCCUUUAUUUUGUAUUAAUUUACAUAUAUUUGCAUACGUGCUAUAA